GACUGUGGGGGAUAAGCUUCAUAGUCGAGAGGGAAACAGCCCAGAUCGCCGGCUAAGGCCCCUAAGCGUGUACUAAGUGGAAAAGGAUGUGGGAUCGCUUAGACAACCAGGAGGUUGGCUCAGAAGCAGCCACCCUUGAAAGAGUGCGUAAUAGCUCACUGGUCAAGUGGUCCUGCGCCGACAAUGUAGUGGGGCUCAAGUACACCGCCGAAGCCGCGGCAUUCCUUUUUGGGAUGGGUAGGGGAGCGUCGUGUAUCCGUUGAAGCUGCAGAGUGAUCUAGUGGUGGAGGGUAUGCGAGUGAGAAUGCAGGCAUGAGUAGCGAAUGACAUGUGGGAAACAUGUCCUCCGGAUGACCAAGGGUUCCUGGGCUAGGCUAAUCCUCCCAGGGUGAGUCGGGUCCUAAGGCAAGGCCGACAGGCGUAGUCGAUGGAUAACGGGUUGAUAUUCCCGUACCCGUAUAAGCGCGCCCAUGGUGAAUCAGUGAUACUAACUGUCCAGAAGCUGCUGUUUUCUCUUUUUAAGGAGAUGGUUGUGGAUGCACAGGACCUGAUCUGGUAGUAGCCAAGCGAUGGGGUGACGCAGGAAGGUAGCUGUGCCAGGUAGUGGAUUGCCUGGUGUAAGCGUGUAGGGUGACAGGUUGGUAAAUCCGCUUGUUGUGUACCUGAGACGUGAUGCGUAGCCAUUGUGGUGAAGUUAGUGAUCCUAUGCUGCCGAGAAAAGCCUCUAGUGAGUUCUUAUGCGGCCCGUACCCUAAACCGACACAGGUGGUCAGGUAGAGAAUACUAAGGAGUUCGAGAGAACUGUGGUUAAGGAAUUCGGCAAAAUGCCCCCGUAACUUUGGAAGAAGGGGGACCGAUGUUGGUGAGCACUUUUUCGGUGUGAGCUGGUGUUGGUCGCAGAGACCAGAGAGAAGCGACUGUUUACCAAAAACACAGGUCCGAGCCCCAGUAAACGGCGGUGGUAACUAUAACCAUCCUAAGGUAGCGAAAUUCCUUGUCGGGUAAGUUCCGACCUGCACGAAUGGCGUAACGACUUCUCUACUGUCUCAACCACAGACUCGGCGAAAUUGCAUUACGAGUAAAGAUGCUCGUUACGCGCGGCAGGACGAAAAGACCCCGGGACCUUUACUAUAGCUUGGCAUUGGUGUUCGGUUUUGUUUGUGUAGGAUAGGUGGGAGACUGUGAAGCUCAUGCGCUAGUGUGGGUGGAGUCGUUGUUGAAAUACCACUCUGAUGAAAUUGGACUUCUAACCUCGGACCAUGAUCUGGUUUAGGGACAGUGCCUGGUGGGUAGUUUAACUGGGGCGGUUGCCUCCCAAAGAGUAACGGAGGCGCCCAAAGGUUCCCUCAGCCUGGUUGGCAAUCAGGUGUU
RNAcentral lists this ribosomal RNA (1371 nucleotides) under Lawsonella clevelandensis. Its description in RNAcentral is "bacterial LSU rRNA". It matches the Rfam family "Bacterial large subunit ribosomal RNA", at positions 987 to 2346 of the family's 2925-position model. The record is from RNAcentral. Lineage: Bacteria; Bacillati; Actinomycetota; Actinomycetes; Mycobacteriales; Lawsonellaceae.